Molecule: long non-coding RNA, 1226 nt
Organism: Polistes canadensis
Lineage: Eukaryota; Metazoa; Arthropoda; Insecta; Hymenoptera; Vespidae
Exons: 3
Source: RefSeq, a predicted model, not a curated record
CUUUCUCUUUCUCUCCCUUUCGUUCACUAUGUCUAUAUAUAUAUAUAUAUUCAUAUUUCUAUCUUGUUUUCUUAUCAAUGACAAUCCAGUCCUUCCUUAACACUUACAACCACCACCCGGAAACUAGUCAGCCUAGUUUUGAUAAGUGUUUUUAUUUUUUUAUGAGAAUAUAUGUUUAUUUGAUAAUCUUUAAACACUUCGACUCGAUAUUUUACAUAUUAAGGAGAAGAUUUAAUGAGAAAGGCCUGUACGUGUACGUCAAGAAAAUUGUAUAUAGAAAAAGUGAAAUAUAAUUAUUGAUAGAAAUAAUUGAAUGUAUAUUUAAAUAUUUUGAUAUAUCACAAAUACCUGGCAAAUUAUUUCAACCAAUGUAGCAGUCUUCCCGGUACCAGGUGGUCCAAAUAAUAUAUAUGGUGCAGGAUGAGCAGUCAUAUUUAAAACAUUUAUCACUACUUGCUUCUGUUCAGAAUUUUUCUUAAUCGAUACAUUGAACCAUUUUAAAUCUCUAUAAAAGUAUAUUAUAACAUUUAGAAAAGGAAAACAUUAUAAAGAAAGUUUUAAUAACGACAAAUACAACUUACAAAUUCAAACAGUUUCUAUUCGUUCCAAUUGUUGGAUAUAUCAAUGACUUAAAAUAACAAUGAAUUUGUUUCAAAGCAUAAUGACAUAUUCUCAUAGACCAUUCUGACUCUAUUAAACUGAUGUUAUAUCUCUUACGUUUACUAAAUAGCAAUCCUUAAAUCAGAUUGUAAACGGGAAUCAGACCAGCUAAAAAUGAUACACAAUUGCUAAUGAGAACAUAAGAAAAAAUGUAAAUGAUUAAUAAAUAUCAAAAUUAAUGUCAUUUUUACUCACGCAUUGAAUUUCUUAGUCAUUUUGUUUCGACGUAAAACAAUUUGAAGUAUCUUUUAUAAAAAAAAUGUAACAAAGAAAUAAUUCCUUCCCUUUUUCCUAUCGUAACUUUGAGAAGAAUAAAUAAAAUUAAUCUAACAUAAAUUAAAUUCUAUAUUUGUUCCCGAAACACAAAUUGAACUUUAAUCACAACGAAAAAUAAAACGACUCGCUAGUAAGAAUUAUUAGUAUAGUACAAUAAUUAUGUAAUAUUAUUCUUAAUCUUAUCACUGUUAACAGUUUCUCUAAACAAUAUAUAUGUAGAAUUAAAUUUAUUGAAAUAUAAAUAAUGUGAAUAAUAGAUUUUCACAAAUAAAGUGAAAUUCUGACAAUAA